This 3982-nucleotide long non-coding RNA is filed under the name Aquilegia coerulea. RNAcentral describes it as "long non-coding RNA (ACOE_LNC001718)". The record is from RNAcentral. Lineage: Eukaryota; Viridiplantae; Streptophyta; Magnoliopsida; Ranunculales; Ranunculaceae.
UCAGUAUAGAAUUGGCGGCGGAUCUGUUCUACGAAAGGUGAGUGAUUGUGAAAUGAAUAGUUUGUAGCCUUGUUGGGAUUAUUACAAAAGUACAUCAUAUCCAUUUUGCAGAUUGAAGUAGGAAUAUCAUUUAAUUUGUACAUAUUUGGAUUGGUAGCUUUUUUGUUUUUGCUUUUUGCAUAAUUUUGUUUUUGUCAGUCAUGCUCAAAUCUGGGUAAUUCUCUACAAAAUUUGAUGUUGUUGACAUAGUUCUUCUUCUUCUUCUUCUUCUUCUUCUCACUAAGAGAUUUACCACAAGUGUCGAUCUAUUAGUUUUCACAACUUUAUGAACGAUUUUAGAUCAAAAAGUUUGUCACGCUAAACUUGCUACUAUCUCACCAAGUUAUGCAAAAUUGUAUAAUUUAAGACACAAGUUCUCAAUUUAGAUUCUUACUUCAAUGUUUGGAUGCAAAAUUUGACCUAAAUUACAAGUUAAAGCGAAUCCAGGUUAAUCUUUUAAACCUGAAUUAUAUUUGGUUUGGAUCUGGAUUCAAUCAUUUUGAUUUAUCUGAUUAAGUUCUCGUGGUUACAUUUUUUUCUCUUGGAACCAAACCCAAAGUUGACCUGAAUGGAUUGCAUCUUUCUAUGAUCCAAAAUGGAUGCAGAUUGUUGUACGAAUAUGGAUCUAGGUAGAUCUAACACUAUUAUAAUCCAUGUACAACCCUACCUAUGCACUAAAGGUAGAGUUGAUGGUAUUUUGGAACCUAUGGAUCUUAUUUUUUUGCUUUUAGUUUAGCGUCAGUUUGUUUUUCUUUAAUCAUAUCCAGAUCUGGUAAAAUUCUCUUCAAAAUUUGAUCUUGUGAGAUAGCUUUUAUUUUUGGUUGCGGUUGUGUGUAAAAACUAUUUUGAUAGAAUAGUUAAUUUUAAAUUUUGUGUGUGUUCUCCCUGGUUUAAUUUUUGUGUAUAAUACAACAGAUCAAAGCUUAUACAUACUACAAAAUGAAUUCUACAUUGGAAUGUUGGUUGAGGCAUACUUUGUCACUUACUCAUUCAUCCUUGUCAUGUAUUUUGACUUAUACUUUUUCUUUACAGAUUCAUAAUAACAUACAUUUUAAGAUGCAGACAAGUACUCAAUUCGUAUUCUUAUAUCGAUGUUAACCCGAUACUACAACACGUGCAAUAUAAUCGAAAGGUGAUUCGUGUUACCAUUUUUUUUCAUUGGACAAUUUGGUCAAAUUUAAUAAUUAUAAUUAAUACAUAUUUAUGUUAUGUUGUUUGCAAGAAUUCAUUAAAUGCGUUUAUAUAUGGGAUUAGGUAAACUGUUGAAGUUGAUUACCCAAAUUGCUCUAACAUGCAUAUUUGAAACCCUAAAUAAUAGUUAAUAAGCUUUCGUUCCACUUCGAUUGAUCGCAAUACCCCAAAAAAGGCAACAACUUAAUAUCUGAUUUAUAUUUUAAUUUUAAUUUUGAAAUUUUUAGACAUCCAACGUAAAAUCAUUCUUAAGCUUCUUUUUUUUUUUCAACAAGACAAAUUUUAUUGAAAAAAAAUCGAAGACAAGUGCGCUAAAAACUGCGCUGCAAGCCCUUUUUAGAUAGCAAAACCAAUCCUACAGAAUACAUGUUUAUUGGAAUCCGCCGUCAUAAUAUUGCUAUUCAUCACUUUUUAUACCCUCCUAAGAAGUUCAACUGCUUCUGGUGCUAGAAACCCAAAAGUAUCAAAAGCAAAAGGAAUGAAACAGUGUUGGUUUGCUACACAUGCUCCCUUGUAUUUUUGUACCUUAGCUGCAGCUGCAUGAAUGGCUGCUUGACCCACUACGAAAUUUCCAUUACCAAACCCCACCCUCAAAGAUGCCCCGGUAAUGUCAACACAUGCAUGUUUUUAUUCUAAACUAAUUGUAUAUAAAAACAUCAGCUGGGCGUAGUGCUGAUCUGCUUGUAAUGUCAUCACAUGCAUUUUUUUUUUUUGGGGGGGGGGGGCAGGGGUGUAUUAUCUCAAAAACACAUAUUUAAAUAAUGAGGUAAAUCAAAGAAUAGUUUGAUUUUAGUCGUAGGUAAACUUAUGAACCACAGAUUGUUACUGUGUUUUAUUAGGAUUUAAGAUAAAAGCAAAAUAUUAUUUCAGAUCAACAAGUCUUUAAGUUAACUAAUACGUACCAUUUAAUUCUAGGAACUUGAACUAAUUACUGGAGGUCCUUUAUACUUUCUACUACAUAUUAAGUUUGCCACAAAAACAUUAACCUAGUACUUAAAAUAUCUUGAAUAUAUUCAGAUAAUUAUAAUCUAAAUGAUGUUUAUUAGUACUACCCGCUAUUGUAACUUUGAUUGGCAAAGUUUUUGUGAGUCAAAGUGAGGUGGCAAAUGAUAAUGUGAGGGUCGGGUGAUGGCCAUCGAGGCAGUUUCAGAAGAGAUCGGUGUUGAUGAAGUGACACAUGAGGAAGCUUUAAGCUUGUCACAAGAGAAAAUCCUAGAAGAGAAACCAAAGCUAGUGACAAUCCGAACAAGGGAGAAUAUUUGAUUUACUGAAAACAAAUUAUUUCACAAAGUACCAACCCCAUGUGUCAGAUUGGUGUGGUUUGACAGAUCUUAUAUCCAUGAAAAAUCACAAAACUUUGUAAAUAUUCAAAAUAUUUUGAUGAAACGAGGAGGUGAAAGUGGAUUAUAACAAAUUUCAGUAAACCCCUUCUUCAUCACCAUCUUUUGAACACAAUUGUUUUUUUAUCAUUAUCAAAUAAAUCCAGCUUCUUUAAAGUUUAUCCAUAUAAAUUCCAAAUCUGAUAUUUCUUUAAAUCUUCCAAUUAUUAAUAAUAAUAAUAAUAAAAAAAAAAAAAAAACUCCAGUUUCAGUUUCAUCUCUAUUUAUAUUGAUGUUGGUAAUAAUCUUCUUCAUGUUUGAUUAGUCACAUAAAUCAUAUUCGAAUCUCAUUUCAAUUAAAAGAAAUCACAAUCCUCCAAAAGGUUGAUUAGUACGUAUAAAGGAAUCGAAAGAAGAUCUGAUCUAAAAGAAUAGAAAGAAAUGUUAUUAUGCAAAUGUUGAAAAUGCGAUUUCACACUCAAGAUCGUUAAAGCCCGUUGUUUUCAUCAGAUAUCUUCGAAAUAUCCAAAAUUUGAAUCAAAAUGGGGAGUUAGUUCUACGUUUCGGGCAUGAUCCGCUCCCUAUUCGGAUUCGGUUUUCAGAAAAUCGGAUAUAUUCAUCGGAUAUUCGCAAAUAUCGACGAUCUAUUAGACCAUAGUUGUGGUAACGACGUCCUUUUAUAAAGGUCCUCAAAUUGUUAUCUUAGUUGUACAGCUUUUCAAUGUGAGAAUUAUUUUUUAAAAUUUAUGGCAGGUAUAAUGAAUAGUGUUGGUGGAUGUUUGACUUUUUUUUUUUUUAUAUGUAUAAUAGGUAUUAAAGGUGGAGCAACAAAUUAAAGUUAAGAUGAAACGCAAGCGAAGAAUGAGUUGCCUUGUUUUCAGUAUCAACUGGAAGAACAAUCCGAGGUUCUGAGAUUCCGUGGAUCUUUUCAUGUUUGGCCACUUAAAUGGUAGGAUGUUGAUAAAAAAAUGUUAAUAAUGGAACAAUGUAGAUAUACAAAAAUGACAAAUUCUUAAAUGUGAUUUACUUUUUUAGUGCAUUGAACUGCUGUGUUCGCAUUCAUUUUUUUUCCAAUGUGAGUACUAUAUAUUUUCAGUGAACUAAGAAAGUAAAGCACACUUAAGAGGUUGUCAUUUUUGUAUGUGUACAAUAUUCCAAAAUUAACAAGUUCUUCAUAUCGACAUCUUACCAUUUAAAUGGCCAAACAUGGAAAGAUCCAUAAAAUCUCAGAUCCCCAGAUUUCUUCUUCCAGUUAUACUGAAAACAGGACAACUCAAUUCUGGCAUAUUCUCGCAGCACCGCUCCAUACGCGAGCCUUUCGUCUUUCUCAGAUGUCGUCAAAGUUUGAUUGGGGAGCUUGUACAGAUCUGAAGGCAACAACUUUAAUUGAAAGUUUAAUACACUCAUUGCAUUUUUCAUGAAGAUGUUUGAUC